UGACAACUAGUGGGAGACACAGUGGAGCUGCAGACAGAGAUCGUGGCAUUGGGGUGGAGGGUGACUCCUGGUUACAGGCCACACAGGGUUCAUCAGGGGGCCAGGCGUCCUCCUUCAAGAAGUAUUUAUGGGGCACCUCACCUACUGUGUGCUGGGCCCUAUUCCAGGUGCCAGGGACGCAGGACAGAACAGGACAGGCUCAGUCUCCGGCCUCCGGAAGCAUCUCUCCUAAAGGGGGGAAGAGAACACACAUGAGUACUGCAGAUAAACUGAGGCGUCGUAAGGAAAAGGGCGUGAUGCUGGGGCAGGCAGGUGGGUUUUAGAGAGGGUGAUCAGGGAAGGCCUUGCUGCGGGCGAGGUGACGUUUGUGUGCUUGUCAGGGGGAACAGCAAGUACAAAAGUCCUGAAGCAGGGCCAUGGCUGUCAUGUUGAGGACGCAGCGGGCAGAGGAGAAGGUGAUGAGAUCAGAGAGUUUCCUGCAGCGCCUUCCCAGGCUCAUUGCAGAUGGGUAACAGUCUGUGGAUUGGCCGUGGUCUGAGGACACCUCUUUGAUAGCAUCGAUUCAGGCUGUUGAGAGGUGGACGCUGGCGUUGCAGAACCUCUCAGAUUGCCAGAAGGAACAAGGCUCCUGCAUCCCUGUUCCCCUAAGCAGGUACUUCUGGACACCAAGUCAAUUAACCUCAAGAUGUCCCAGGCCAGGCGCGCUGCGCUGACUUACGGCUGGAUCCCUCCUUCCAUCCCAGUCUGUCUCCCAGGACCUUCAGGAUGUACAUUGUUAUUAAAGUGUCCCCGCCAGUGGCCCCUGAUAAGCAUACAGAGCUGUGGGGUCGGGGUUGGAGUGGGGCGACCUGGGAGAGAGAAGUACGUACAGGUAGAGGCCCGCCUUCUUUGAUUCCAACGCUAUACAAAACUUGGCCCAAGCAUCACCUCCUGCAGAAAGUCAUCCCGGGCCUGCAGCCAGACUGAGGGCCCCCGCCUGCGCUGCUGCAUCACAGAACAGGUCUCCCUGCAUUCACAUGGAACAGUUGACAUAGUAAAUUCGAAGGUGGUGCCAGCGCCUCUGGGGGUUGGAGGUGGUGUCACCUGCCUUGGUUCGAGGGUCUGACCAGAUUUCAGGGCUUGUCUGGGUGCCCCUGCGCAGGGUACAGUCUGUACAACUCUAAGCAGUGGCCCAGGUAGUUGGAGCUCCAGGCCCAUCUCUGGCAGACUUCAGGGGACUGGGGAGCGGGAAUUGUGUCUGGGACGUUGCAUCUUGAGUACAGAGGUCUCCGCCUGGUUGAGCAACAGAAAACACUGGCUUAAAAAAAUGUAGACACUCUGGCUCCAAUUUUAGGAAUUCUACCUCCAGAGGUCUGACAAGGGUCCUGAGUCUCGAAAACUUUUUUUUUUUUUUGAAGAUGAUUAGCCCUGAGCUAACUGCUGCCAAUCCUCCUAUUUUUUGCUGAAGAAGACUGACCCUGCCUGAGCUAACAUCUGUGCCCAUCUUCCUCUACUUUCUAUGUGGGACGCCUGCCCAGCAUGGCUUGCCAAGCGGUGCCAUGUCCACAUCCGGGAUCUGGGCUGGCGAACCCCGGACACCAGGAAGUAGAAUGUGCACACUUAACUGCUGCGCCACCGGGCUGGCCCCUUGACAUUUUGAAAAAGUGCCAUGUGACUCUGAUGCCCAGCUGCUGUCUGACCCAUAAGAGGUGUCUGGUGACUGUGCUCAUAGAAGUGCAGCACGUCUGUGAAGGGACACACAGGGAUCUGUGGCCUGCGGGGAGGGGAGCUGGGGGACAUCAGAGGAAGAUGAGUCACUUUUUGUUAUACAUCUUUUUGUACUGAUUGGACUUUUAACCUAAAAAAAAUGUUUGACCAACUGAUGUUGUUGCUGUCAUCUACGUGAGGGACCACCAACUCUAG
Molecule: long non-coding RNA, 1902 nt
Organism: Equus caballus (horse)
Lineage: Eukaryota; Metazoa; Chordata; Mammalia; Perissodactyla; Equidae
Source: Ensembl